Molecule: long non-coding RNA, 2573 nt
Filed under: Linum usitatissimum (flax)
Lineage: Eukaryota; Viridiplantae; Streptophyta; Magnoliopsida; Malpighiales; Linaceae
Description: long non-coding RNA (LUSI_LNC004610)
Source: RNAcentral
ACACCCUUUUGUGUGUGGAGGAUGACCAAGAAACACAAAGGGGUGUGCUCGAGGAUCAAGUUUAGGGCGAUUGUGAGCGAUGGUUGAGGCCUAAACAAGGCAUCCGAAGACUCGAAGAUGUUCAUAUGUGGUGGAUUCCUUAGUAAGGAUGGUGUAGGGUGUUUGAUUCUUGAUAACCGGGGAAGGAAGUCAAUUACCGAGAUGGGUAGCAUGGAGGAAUGCAUACCCCUAAAAAGGUAAGGGUAGACAUGAUUGAAAAAGUAAUAAUUGAGUGACGACAGGAACGCAUUAAUGCUUGCGCUCAACACGUCUGUUUUGUUAGGAGGUAUAAACACAAGUAGUUUUAUGAAUGAUACCUAUUAGAGCUGGUCUUCUUUUAUUUAUUGGUUUACUAAGAAAUACGAGAGGAUCGAUCUUGUAUCAUAUAAUCUCAGAGUUUUCAAAUCGAGAUUUUGAUUGUUUUGAAUCAAGAUUUUGAAAGGAUUAUGGUUUGACAAAAAUAGUCUCAAGUCCCUCCUCAAAAGUCAAAAGAUAUUCGCACUGACGACAAAUGAUAUUUCCACCGAACCGAUUAAUCGGUAUCGGUUAUUUCUUUGUCCUUUUGUCGACAUAGUAAUAGUGAGGGACACAAUUAUUCUGUCCACUCUUCCUCCAUCUUCUUAAACUCUUCCUCAUCUUCUUUUUCUUUUUCUCAUAUGAUGCCACUGAAGCUUCCUCCUUCAUCUUGCAUUUAUUUGUUUAGAGAUUGGAGUUUUAAUUUGUCUCCUGACAAACGCUGGAACUUCCUCUCUUAGGUUGUUUUGAGAUCAGAAUUUUAAUUUGUUUCUCCAGCCAAAACAACGACAACAUCCUUCAAAGCUCUCUUUGCUGUGAAGAUUUUUAUGUUCAUAGUUAUCUCGUUCCUUUUGUUCAUUUCUUGGUUUAUGAGGCAAUGCCUCCGUGAGGUGAUCGUCGCUACCAAAAAACCCUCAAGGAGGUUGAGCAAAAGCACCAAUGCGAUAGAUAAGUAGGUGACCUUUUUGAUAGAUUGUAUUUUCUGUUUCUGUGUAGCUAAUGGUUGUUUAUGUUUUCGAAGAUGUUCUCUUAGAUUGUCUUCUAAUGAACAAGUAGUCUUUGUAGGUAACUGAAAUUAAACUUGCUUUUAUUAAUAGUAUGUGGUUACAGUGUAUUUGACGGUAGUACAAGCAAUUGAUUUAGCAUAAUUCCCAUUACCCUGGUUAACAACAACAUUCUGGAGUCUUCUUUCUACUUUUUCUCUUUUGGAUCUAUGGUCUUUUGUCUGAAACUCUAUUGCUCUCUUCUCUCUGUGGUUGUCAUUCAUAGAAAAUGAAGGUACGAGUUUCUCCUCAGUAGAUCGGUGUUCCUUAUAGUAUAUUUUGUGGUUGAUGGAUAUAAGCUAGACUCAGAACAAAAAUCCUACCUGACCAUGGAGCUUGGACAAAUAUAUUUCCAUUGGGAUCGUAGAUUGCACCAUAGUUUCCUUAAAAAAAGCCUUUCUCUAUGAGCUGGCCAGCGCUUAGAAAACUCAUCUUGAUACCGGGAACCAGUAGAACAUCUUGUAUGAUAAGUGGACCUAGCAUGACAAAUCCUUUUCCCUUGACUUUCAACUUGGUAUCUCCAACCGUAAUAGAUGUAUUAAAAUUAUAGUCAACCCCAAAGAAAAUAUUUUCGUUAGGAGAGAUGUGAUUAGUACAUCCGCUAUCGAUUAACCAUUCGGAUUUCUUCGCUUUGCAAAAAGGACAAAAACCAAGAGGAUAAUAAUAACCUGUAGUACUUCCAGUUUCUCUAGUAUGUUGUAUGGUAUAGGUAGGUGGUGUCACAGUUGUACCCUUUCCUUUGUCUAUUCCCCUGAAGGUCUCCAUAUGAUUUUGUCCUUCGGUAAUCGAUUUGAGCAGAACCCUUAGUAAAGUGCAAUAUUCUCUAAGUUUAAAUACAAGACUAAGGAAGUCCGAUCCUUAAAAAAUAAACCUGGCCGAUCAUAUUGUUUUUGUCUUGGAGUACCUGUAAGCCCGAUAGAUAUUGACUACCAUUAAUUAUGUUUCACUUCUCUGUUCAUCUCUCACAUUUCCGACAUGAGGAUGAAGUAGGAGAUGCAUUAUUGUGCACAAGCAAUUGUCGCAUCCAUCGUCACCUCUUUUCUUUAAAACUGAGAAGUUAUUUAUUGGACCUCUCUGAUUGCUUCUUGCUAACCAGUUAACCCUUAUUCUACCCAAAUCUAAGUUUUGAAGUUCUUCCUUGAGUCCCAUUUAAAAAAGAUAGUUUUCUCUAAUUUCUCUCAAGCUCUGAUUGGGGUGAAUUUUGUUCUGCUUGUGGCCAUCUUUUUUAUCUUGGGCAUAUCUUGUUUCAUGCAGCACUUCAACUAUGUAGAAGAGCAACGACAUCCAGAGAAUCUUCCGAUUGAAUAUCAGGCGAAUUUGAUCUCUUUCCUUGAUUAACUAUUGUAUGGUAUCGAGUUUCUAUUCUGGAAUAAAUUGUGUUAUUUUAGUUUCUGUUUGUUUUGUGUGGUUUUGUUUUGAUUUUGAGGACGAAAUCUUUUUAAGGAGAAGAGAAAUGUAAUACCCUAAUCUUAAUAG